RNAcentral lists this ribosomal RNA (253 nucleotides) under uncultured bacterium. RNAcentral describes it as "partial 16S ribosomal RNA". It matches the Rfam family "Bacterial small subunit ribosomal RNA", at positions 524 to 776 of the family's 1533-position model. The record is from RNAcentral.
UACGAAGGGGGCUAGCGUUGCUCGGAAUCACUGGGCGUAAAGCGCACGUAGGCGGCUUUCUAAGUCAGGGGGGAAAUCCUGGAGCUCAACUCCAGAACUGCCUUUGAUACUGGAGAGCUUGAGUCCGGAAGAGGUGAGUGGAACUCCGAGUGUAGAGGUGAAAUUCGUAGAUAUUCGGAAGAACACCAGUGGCGAAGGCGGCUCACUGGUCCGGUACUGACGCUGAUGUGCGAAAGCGUGGGGAGCAAACAGG